Molecule: ribosomal RNA, 401 nt
Filed under: Blepharipa sturmioides
Lineage: Eukaryota; Metazoa; Arthropoda; Insecta; Diptera; Tachinidae
Description: partial 16S rRNA
Source: RNAcentral
GGCUGCAGUAUACUAACUGUGCAAAGGUAGCAUAAUCAUUAGUUUUUUAAUUGAAGGCUGGUAUGAAUGGUUGGACAAAAUAUUAACUGUUUCAUGAUAAUUUUUAAUAAAAUUUUAUUUUUUAGUUAAAAAGCUAAAAUUUAUUUAAAAGACGAGAAGACCCUAUAAAUCUUUAUAUUUAUUUUUAUAAUAAUUUUUUAGGAAAUUUUUAUUAUUAUAAUAUUUAAUAUUUUAUUGGGGUGAUAUUAAAAUUUAAUAAACUUUUAAUUUUUAGUUUCAUUAAUUUAUGAGUAAUUGAUCCGUUAUUAACGAUUAAAAGAACAAGUUACUUUAGGGAUAACAGCGUAAUUUUUUUGGAGAGUUCACAUUAAUAAAAAAGAUUGCGACCUCGAUGUUGGAUU